AGAACGAACGCUGGCGGCAUGCCUAAUACAUGCAAGUCGAACGAACUCUUCGGAGUUAGUGGCGCACGGGUGCGUAACGCGUGGGAAUCUGCCCUUGGGUUCGGAAUAACAGUUGGAAACGACUGCUAAUACCGGAUGAUGACGAAAGUCCAAAGAUUUAUCGCCCAGGGAUGAGCCCGCGUAGGAUUAGCUAGUUGGUGAGGUAAAGGCUCACCAAGGCGACGAUCCUUAGCUGGUCUGAGAGGAUGAUCAGCCACACUGGGACUGAGACACGGCCCAGACUCCUACGGGAGGCAGCAGUAGGGAAUAUUGGACAAUGGGCGAAAGCCUGAUCCAGCAAUGCCGCGUGAGUGAUGAAGGCCUUAGGUUGUAAAGCUCUUUUACCCGAGAUGAUAAUGACAGUAUCGGAGAAUAAGCCCCGGCUAACUCCGCGCCAGCAGCCGC
This 444-nucleotide ribosomal RNA is filed under the name uncultured soil bacterium. RNAcentral describes it as "bacterial SSU rRNA". It matches the Rfam family "Bacterial small subunit ribosomal RNA", at positions 26 to 518 of the family's 1533-position model. The record is from RNAcentral.